AUUGAACGCUGGCAGCAUGCCUUACACAUGCAAGUCGAACGGCAGCAUGGAGAGCUUGCUCUCUGAUGGCGAGUGGCGAACGGGUGAGUAAAGCAUCGGAACGUACCGUGUAGUGGGGGAUAACGUAGCGAAAGUUACGCUAAUACCGCAUACGCACUGAGGUGGAAAGCAGGGGAUCGUAAGACCUUGCGCUAUACGAGCGGCCGAUGUCAGAUUAGCUAGUUGGUAGGGUAAAGGCCUACCAAGGCGACGAUCUGUAGCGGGUCUGAGAGGAUGAUCCGCCACACUGGGACUGAGACACGGCCCAGACUCCUACGGAAGGCAGCAGUGGGGAAUUUUGGACAAUGGGGGCAACCCUGAUCCAGCCAUGCCGCGUGAGUGAAGAAGGCCUUCGGGUUGUAAAGCUCUUUCGGCCGGGAAGAAAUCGCACAGGCUAAUACCCUGUGUGGAUGACGGUACCGGCAUAAGAAGCACCGGCUAACUACGUGCCAGCCGCCGCGGUAA
This 504-nucleotide ribosomal RNA is filed under the name uncultured bacterium. RNAcentral's name for it is "partial 16S ribosomal RNA". It matches the Rfam family "Bacterial small subunit ribosomal RNA", at positions 30 to 523 of the family's 1533-position model. The record is from RNAcentral.